Long non-coding RNA from Acanthochromis polyacanthus (spiny chromis), 416 nucleotides. RefSeq lists it as uncharacterized. The record is from RefSeq and is a predicted model, not a curated record. The transcript is spliced from 3 exons. Lineage: Eukaryota; Metazoa; Chordata; Actinopteri; Pomacentridae.
GGAGCUACAAUUGUUUCAGCAUGACACAUUUCGCCACCAUGCCAGAUCCUUCAUUGAACCUGCAGUCAUUCACCACUGGAAAACAUCACAGGAUAUGAUGCUCCAGCGGCUCAGUCAGGAGAACAAAUUGAUAGUUGGUGGUGACAUGAGGGCUGACUCUCCAGGACACUCUGCAAAGUUUGGGAGUUACACCAUGAUGGACCUCAACACAAACACAGUUAUUGACAGCCAGUUGGUUCAGAGUAACGAGGUUGGGGGUAAUUACUACAUGGAGAAAGAGGGCCUGAUGAGGAGUCUGGAAUUUCUGGAGGGACGUGGAAUUGCGAUUGAUUGCAUUGUUACUGACCGUCAUCCGCAAAUUCAGAAGUUCCUCAGGGAAAGAAACAUCACCCACUACUAUGAUGUAUGGCAUAUGG